CCUCCAAUUAGUUGGAGGACCAAUUACAAUAUCAUAUUCUUAUCAACCCACUUUGGACGACCGGCAUUAUAAACUCUAUCGAGCGGCAUUUUCUUUUCUUCCAUUGCAUCCAUAUGUACGGAUAAAAGUUUCAGGUGUAAAAGUUGAAAAUUUAUUAAGUAAUAUUAUGUGUAAAUAGGUUUUGCAAUCUCUAGAAUUUGAAUAGCAAAGCAAAAACCUGAGCAACAUGACAGCUAUUUCAACAAACCCAGUUGUCUCAGUGUUAGACAAAUGCAAAUCUUUAUGUGAAUUGCGUCAAAUUCAUGCCCAAAUGAUCAAAACAAACCUCCUCAAUCAUCAAUUCACUGUAAGCAGACUUAUAGCUUUCUGUUCUCUCUCUGGUGUCUCGGGUGGCUUAGACUACGCUUCAUCGGUUUUUUCUCGGAUCCAACACCCCAAUUCCUUCAUCUUCUUCGCUCUGAUUAAGGGUUUUUCUGAUACUUCAAACCCAGUGGAGUCUUUGAUUCUUUAUGCUCGCAUGCUUUCUUGCUUGAAUUACUCCAGUGGUGUCGAGUUCUCUAUUCCUUCUGUUCUGAAAGCCUGUGGAAAGUUGUUGGCUUUCGAUGAAGGCCGGCAAGUUCAUGGUCAAGUGUUGAAAACCCACUUGUGGUUUGAUCCUUUUGUGGGGAAUUCGAUGGUGAGAAUGUAUAUCGAUUUUGGAGAGAUUGAAUUGGCGAGAAGGGUGUUUGAUAGAAUGCCUAAUAGAGAUGUGGUCUCUUGGAAUUCGAUGAUAGCGGGUUAUUUGAAAGCGGGUGAGAUUGAGCUGGCUAGUGAGCUGUUUGAUGAAAUGCCUGAAAGGGACUUGGUUUCCUGUAACGCCAUGAUUGAUGGGUAUGGCAAGUGUGGCAGGUGUGAGCUUGCAGAGAAGGUUUUUGAGACGAUGAGUGAUAAGGAUGUGGUUACUUGGACAUCCAUGAUUUCGGCUUAUGUGCAAAAUAGAUGUCCAAUGAAGGCAUUAGAUUUAUUUAGGGAAAUGUUGAGCUUGGGACUUCGACCAGAUGGCCCUGCUAUUGUUAGCGUUCUUUCUGCCAUUGCUGACUUGGGUUUUGUGGAGGAAGGGAAAUGGCUGCAUGCUUAUGUAUCUAUGAAUAAGAUAGAAUUAAGCUCUGGGUUCAUUGGAUCAGCACUUAUAGACAUGUACUCUAAAUGUGGGUAUAUUGAGAAUGCAUAUCAUGUCUUUAGAAGUAUAUCCCAUAGGAGAAACAUUGGGGACUGGAAUUCAAUGAUCUCUGGCCUUGCAAUCCAUGGCCUUGCCCGAGAAGCUCUUGAUAUCUUUGUUGAGAUGGAGAGGAUGGAUAUUGAGCCCAAUGAGAUUACUUUCUUAGGACUUCUGAGCACUUGUAGUCACGGAGGUUUAGUUGAAGAGGGUCAGUUUUACUUUGAAUCCAUGCAUGAAAAGUACAAAAUUGUUCCCAGAAUUCAACACUAUGGAUGCAUGAUCGAUCUUUUUGGUAGAGCAGGCCGUCUAGAGGAUGCUCUUGGAGUUAUACAAAAUAUGCCCUUUGAGGCUGAUCUCUUAGCUUGGAAGGCCAUUCUUAGUGCCAGUAUGAAGCAUGGGCACAUUGAAAUUGGGAAAAGCGCUGCUCUGCGAGCAAUAGAGUUGGCCCCAGAUGACUCAAGUUCUUAUGUUCUCCUCUCAAACAUAUAUGCCAAGGCGGGGAGAUGGGAUGAUGUAGCUAAAAUUAGGUUGAUGAUGAGACAAAGGGGAGUGAAAAAGAUUGCUGGUUGCAGUUCCAUGCUUGUUAAUGGGAAAGUCCACGAGUUCCUGUUGGGGAAAGAAUUGGACAGUAGCUAUAGUGGCCAAGUUCUGGCUAAGAUAGCCGAGGUGGUUUCUAGGUUGAAGCUGCAAGGCUACGAACCUGACCUCACUCAAGUCCUUCUGGACAUUGAAGAUGAAGGAAAAGAGAGCUUGCUUAACCUCCACAGUGAGAAGAUGGCCAUUGCGUUCGGACUUAUACACAUAAACAAGAGUGCUCCUAUUCAUAUAGUGAAGAACUUGAGGGUUUGUUGCGAUUGUCAUUGCUUUAUGAAGUUGGUUUCUAAGGUUUACAACCGGCAAAUUAUCAUGAGAGAUCAAAAUCGUUUCCAUCAUUUUGAAAAUGGUUGUUGCUCCUGCAAUGAGUAUUGGUGAACCCCUAGUAUGCCGCACUGAAAGUAUACUUCUACAACUGAAAUUUAUUGGUCCCAAUCUUCAUCACAGAUUGUGGAUGCUACUCAGAAGUUUAAAGUUGGUCUGAGAAGUUAUUGUACUCAAAUAAAAUCUAGUCAGGUGGGACUGGUGAACUUCUAUGGCCCAAGCCUGGCCUUGAUGAUAGGAGUCUAAAAGAUUUGGCCCACUUAAAUAGAAAAAUCUUUGGUCCGUUUUCUAAAACUUUAAAAUUGAUGUUCCUCUUACAAAUAGUGGUAAACUUCAAAAAAAGAUUAUUGCUUGAAUUUAUUCAAAAAAAAAACUGAUAAAUACCAUGGCCCACCUAAACAUCAAACAUUGGGCCAAGACCAUUGGGCCUGGCCGGUGGAUGGUCCUUGGGGCCUGCCUUAAUUGUGGAUGCCCCCACUUUGAGAGUAGAGACCGAUGUUAACUAACGAUAUUUUAAUAUACGGUGUUGAAUGUUGGACAACGGUAACAAAAACGGAAGGGUGAAUUCACUCUUUAUCAUGACUGGUUCACAAAACGAUAUAUAGAGAAUCCAGACUUUGUAGAAAUGGAGAAUUACACGGGAUUUUGAUGCAUAGAAUUGCACAUGUAGGGUGUUAAAAGAAAAGCAAACAAAAAAGGGAAAAAUUGGGCAGCGCUCUUCCUAAUAAAUAAGCGUGAAGCACAUGGGCGAUGCAUUGUUGCCGGAAAAUUGUAAUUGUUUCGAUGUGGGACCACGCCUAUGAUCUAAUCUCAUAGAUGAGUGUGUGGGAGAGUGAGAAAUGUAGUUGUCCAGCAGCAGGAAGAAACAGUAGACUGUAGAGCAGCACCGGCCAUACUCCCAUAGCUGAUCAGUGGUCAUCAUACCACAACACCCAAGACGCUUCCCCCAGCAAUGUUUGUCCCUAUAGCAGUGGCUGUGGUGGUGGGUGUUCUUGGUUGGGCUUAUCAGGCAACUAAGCCUCCCCCUCCAAAGAUAUGUGGGUCACCAGAUGGUCCUCUUGUUACUUCACCAAGAGUCAGGCUUAGCGAUGGGAGGCAUUUGGCAUACAGAGAGACAGGAGUUUCCAAAGAAGAGGCUAAGUACAAGAUUAUUGUCAUUCAUGGGUUUGACAGCUCCAAAGACUUGAAUUUACCUGCAUCUCAAGUAUAACAAUGAGCUAACUCCACUUAUUAAUUGCCAACCACAUUAUAUUCUGUUCUUAAAUUAUGGUUGUUACUCUGUUUACACUUCACAGAUAUGGAAUAAUAGCACUAGGUUGUGAUAUUAUGGUGGGUGGACAUUAAUUUAAGGAUCAGCCACAUUGAGGAAUGGUAUGAAAAACCA
Molecule: RNA transcript, 3500 nt
Organism: Vitis vinifera (wine grape)
Lineage: Eukaryota; Viridiplantae; Streptophyta; Magnoliopsida; Vitales; Vitaceae
Exons: 2
Source: RefSeq, a predicted model, not a curated record